RNAcentral lists this non-coding RNA (28 nucleotides) under Rattus norvegicus (Norway rat). The record is from RNAcentral. Lineage: Eukaryota; Metazoa; Chordata; Mammalia; Rodentia; Muridae.
UAGGGUAAAGUCCUAAGACUCAGGCCUC